AUUGAACGCUGGCGGCAUGCCUAACACAUGCAAGUCGAACGGUAACAGGCCUUCGGGCGCUGACGAGUGGCGGACGGGUGAGUAAUGCAUAGGAAUCUGCCCAUUAGUGGGGGACAACUCGGGGAAACUCGAGCUAAUACCGCAUACGCCCUACGGGGGAAAGCGGAGGACCUUUCGGGGCUUCGCGCUAAUGGAUGAGCCUAAGUCGGAUUAGCUUGUUGGUGAGGUAAAGGCUCACCAAGGCGACGAUCCGUAGCUGGUCUGAGAGGACGAUCAGCCACACUGGGACUGAGACACGGCCCAGACUCCUACGGGAGGCAGCAGUGGGGAAUAUUGGACAAUGGGCGAAAGCCUGAUCCAGCAAUGCCGCGUGUGGAAGAAGGC
This 384-nucleotide ribosomal RNA is filed under the name uncultured bacterium. RNAcentral's name for it is "bacterial SSU rRNA". It matches the Rfam family "Bacterial small subunit ribosomal RNA", at positions 30 to 415 of the family's 1533-position model. The record is from RNAcentral.